GGCGGCGUGCUUAACACAUGCAAGUCGAACGAUGAAGCCCUUCGGGGUGGAUUAGUGGCGAACGGGUGAGUAACACGUGGGCAAUCUGCCCUGCACUCUGGGACAAGCCCUGGAAACGGGGUCUAAUACCGGAUAUGACCAUCUUGGGCAUCCUUGAUGGUGUAAAGCUCCGGCGGUGCAGGAUGAGCCCGCGGCCUAUCAGCUUGUUGGUGAGGUAAUGGCUCACCAAGGCGACGACGGGUAGCCGGCCUGAGAGGGCGACCGGCCACACUGGGACUGAGACACGGCCCAGACUCCUACGGGAGGCAGCAGUGGGGAAUAUUGCACAAUGGGCGAAAGCCUGAUGCAGCGACGCCGCGUGAGGGAUGACGGCCUUCGGGUUGUAAACCUCUUUCAGCAGGGAAGAAGCGAAAGUGACGGUACCUGCAGAAGAAGCGCCGGCUAACUACGUGCCAGCAGCCGCGGUAAUACGUAGGGCGCAAGCGUUGUCCGGAAUUAUUGGGCGUAAAGAGCUCGUAGGCGGCUUGUCACGUCGAUUGUGAAAGCUCGGGGCUUAACCCCGAGUCUGCAGUCGAUACGGGCUAGCUAGAGUGUGGUAGGGGAGAUCGGAAUUCCUGGUGUAGCGGUGAAAUGCGCAGAUAUCAGGAGGAACACCGGUGGCGAAGGCGGAUCUCUGG
Molecule: ribosomal RNA, 677 nt
Filed under: Streptomyces sp. MO.50
Lineage: Bacteria; Bacillati; Actinomycetota; Actinomycetes; Kitasatosporales; Streptomycetaceae
Description: bacterial SSU rRNA
Rfam family: Bacterial small subunit ribosomal RNA
Source: RNAcentral